UACGUAGGGGGCAAGCGUUGUCCGGAUUUAUUGGGCGUAAAGAGCGUGUAGGCGGCCACACAGGUCUGCUGUGAAAACUCGAGGCUCAACCUCGAGACGCCGGUUGAAACCAUCUGGCUAGAGUCCGGAAGAGGAGAGUGGAAUUCCUGGUGUAGCGGUGAAAUGCGCAGAUAUCAGGAAGAACACCCGUGGCUAAGGCGGCUCUCUAGUACGGUACUGACGCUGAGACGCGAAAGCGUGGGGAGCGAACAGG
This 253-nucleotide ribosomal RNA is filed under the name uncultured bacterium. Its description in RNAcentral is "partial 16S ribosomal RNA". It matches the Rfam family "Bacterial small subunit ribosomal RNA", at positions 524 to 776 of the family's 1533-position model. The record is from RNAcentral.